RNAcentral lists this ribosomal RNA (253 nucleotides) under uncultured bacterium. RNAcentral's name for it is "partial 16S ribosomal RNA". It matches the Rfam family "Bacterial small subunit ribosomal RNA", at positions 524 to 776 of the family's 1533-position model. The record is from RNAcentral.
GACAGAGGCCCCAAGCGUUAGGCGGAAUCACUGGGCUUAAAGCGUGUGUAGGCGGACGCCUAAGUGUCUUGUGAAAUCCCACGGCUCACCCGUGGAACUGCUUGGCAUACUGGGUGUCUUGAGCCACUUAGGGGUCGCUGGAACAAACGGUGGAGCGGUGAAAUGCGUAGAUAUCGUUUGGAACGCCAAUGGUGAAAACAGGCGACUGGGAGUGUGCUGACACUGAGACACGAAAGCCAGGGGAGCGAACGGG